GGUGCGAUAAUAUUAAACCUGCUAAAUUUAACUUCUGAUAUUAACCCAUCAGCCGCAUCA
This 60-nucleotide transfer RNA is filed under the name Diploderma flaviceps. Its description in RNAcentral is "tRNA-Ser". Lineage: Eukaryota; Metazoa; Chordata; Lepidosauria; Squamata; Agamidae. The record is from RNAcentral.